AGAGUUUGAUCAUGGCUCAGGACUAACGCUGGCGGCAUGCAUCAUACAUGCAAGUCGAACGGAAAGUAGGGUAGCAAUACUCUGCUUUUAGUGGCGGACGGGUGAGUAACACGUAGGUAACCUACCCUCGUGACCGGGAUAACCUGCCGAAAGGCGGGCUAAUACCGGAUGUGACCACAGACCCGCAUGGGUUAGGGGUA
Molecule: ribosomal RNA, 200 nt
Filed under: uncultured bacterium
Lineage: Bacteria
Description: partial 16S ribosomal RNA
Rfam family: Bacterial small subunit ribosomal RNA
Source: RNAcentral